RNAcentral lists this unclassified non-coding RNA (337 nucleotides) under soil metagenome. Its description in RNAcentral is "partial contains 5.8S ribosomal RNA, internal transcribed spacer 2, and large subunit ribosomal RNA". The stretch from base 1 to 120 matches the Rfam family "5.8S ribosomal RNA", at positions 35 to 154 of the family's 154-position model. The record is from RNAcentral.
GAUGAAGAACGCAGCGAAAUGCGAUAAGUAGUGUGAAUUGCAGAAUUCAGUGAAUCAUCGAAUCUUUGAACGCACAUUGCGCCCCUUGGUAUUCCAUGGGGCAUGCCUGUUCGAGCGUCAUUUGUACCCUCAAGCUUUGCUUGGUGUUGGGUGUUUGUCCCGCGUUGCGCGUGGACUCGCCUUAAAGCGAUUGGCAGCCGGCAUAUUGGCCUUGGAGCGCAGCACAUUUUGCGCUUCUAGUCAUGAAUGUUGGCGUCCAUUAAGCCUAUACAUCUGCUCUUGACCUCGGAUCAGGUAGGGAUACCCGCUGAACUUAAGCAUAUCAAUAAGCGGAGGA